This 497-nucleotide ribosomal RNA is filed under the name uncultured bacterium. RNAcentral's name for it is "partial 16S ribosomal RNA". It matches the Rfam family "Bacterial small subunit ribosomal RNA", at positions 28 to 507 of the family's 1533-position model. The record is from RNAcentral.
GAUGAACGCUGGCGGCGUGCCUAAUACAUGCAAGUCGAGCGAACGGACGAGAAGCUUGCUUCUCUGAUGUUAGCGGCGGACGGGUGAGUAACACGUGGAUAACCUACCUAUAAGACUGGGAUAACUUCGGGAAACCGGAGCUAAUACCGGAUAAUAUUUUGAACCGCAUGGUUCAAAAGUGAAAGACGGUCUUGCUGUCACUUAUAGAUGGAUCCGCGCUGCAUUAGAUAGUUGGUAAGGUAACGGCUUACCAAGGCAACGAUGCAUAGCCGACCUGAGAGGGUGAUCGGCCACACUGGAACUGAGACACGGUCCAGACUCCUACGGGAGGCAGCAGUAGGGAAUCUUCCGCAAUGGGCGAAAGCCUGACGGAGCAACGCCGCGUGAGUGAUGAAGGUCUUCGGAUCGUAAAACUCUGUUAUUAGGGAAGAACAUAUGUGUAAGUAACUGUGCGCAUCUUGACGGUACCUAAUCAGAAAGCCACGGCUAACUACGUG